Molecule: small RNA, 779 nt
Filed under: Rattus norvegicus (Norway rat)
Lineage: Eukaryota; Metazoa; Chordata; Mammalia; Rodentia; Muridae
Description: uncharacterized LOC102547111
Source: RNAcentral
AUCUAGGGAGGAAAACAUCGAGAUUUAGUUUCCGUGUGGAUGAGUCUUAUGGAACAACCUCGUGUAGGUGAAGAUGAAGCUAGACCCAGACUGGAGCAGAAAUUCAAGCUGAGAGUAUCUGGAACCAUAGAAGUAACCAUAGAGUAAGGAGCCAUACGUGGUCAAGGGCUGACACUUUACCCCACGGAAGCUGAAGCAGGUGGAGACAAAGCUGUAUCAUUCAAUCUUAGACCCUUUGUUAAGAAAUGCCUACUUCUUGAAUGGAACUAAAUAUUGCCUUUGACAAGAUCCUGGUUACCACAAGACUCUUCUAAUUAACCCAGAAUAAUCAUGCCAUCUCACAGCAUCUCACGGUCGUGUCGUGUCAUCUCACAGAAGGGACAGUGGGAAUGAAGAACAGCCUCUGUACCCCUUCAGGACCACCAUAACUCCCCUCGGAAGAAGUCACAGUAGAGAUCACUGCGGACUCCUGUUUUGGGGCUGUCAGCGAGCCAGGGUGGGGCGAUCCUUCAGCAGCAUGGAUGUGCUGCUCUCAUUGAGAAUGUAUCUAGUGGGUGGCCAACAUACAGUUCAUCCAUUCCCGUCCAGAGGAUAAGCACUUUGCAAGCUUGCUUGGAGAGGUCUGACAGUCAAGCUGGUAGAAAAGGGUGUCUCAGUUCAUCCGGGUCACCCAAGAGUGGAACAAUUGAAUUCCUGGUGGAGAUCAAAGUUAGAUGUCAUCUUAUCGGAAGUUAUUUGGUAACACUUUCAAAGAAAUAAUGUUCAGGGGGCUGGAGAGA